This is a non-coding RNA of Lolium perenne, 865 nucleotides long. The record is from RefSeq and is a predicted model, not a curated record. NCBI's taxonomy places the organism in Eukaryota, Viridiplantae, Streptophyta, Magnoliopsida, Poales, Poaceae.
UCCCCUGUAGGAAAAUAAGCGAAAAUAAGCAGUGCCUUGUGGUGUUGAUCAUCCCAUGGACAAAGAGGAGUUUGCUUCCAGGAUCUGUCAAGGCAUUGAAGCCAGCUCCUCACCGGUGACAAAGCCAUGCUUUUAAAAGACCAGGUGUAUUUCCCUUGCAUGGUGAUAUACACCAGAGAAUAGGAAAAGUGACCCAUAAGUAUAAAUCCUUGGUAACUAGGACUUCUUUUCUGCUACUGUAUAAAAGUAUAUACCUACCUCAAUAUACUAUUUGACUGCCAACUCCAGGUUACUGAAGCACGUCUUUUCUUCUAAAGAAGUAUGGCAAGUUAAUUUGCACUAAAUGCAAUUUAUGAUAUAUACCAGGUUUCAUUGUUGCUGGAAAAGGUUUUGCAUGGAUCAAUUUAGGGAGCAGCUGAAAGUUCUUAUUAUUCAGGAGUGCUAUCUUUCAAGAAUACAUCCUUCGCAUGUUGGUAUGUCAAUAUACCUGUUUCAGAAAUAUCUGAUAUGAAAGACAGCCUCCAAGAUCACCCACAUGAGCUAGAUAGGCAGGGGCGAAAACAAAGACCUGAACCAAUAGAGACAACACUAUAUGCUCUAGCUAAAGAACCAAUAAAACUAUUUUGGUGAACAUCUUUCCAUUAAUAUGCACUAUCAAUAUAGUAUGCUUAUAUCUGAACAAAUCUAAUGCAUUAAUGGCACACGAGGAAAAAGUUACGCAAACAAUGUUCAAGACUGCUCGCUCAUGUCCUGUAAAGAUUUCUGAAAGAAGACAUCCUAACGGAAAUGUCUACAAAUUUCUGAAGUGGCCAUACAUAUUACAUAGAAGGAAAACACAGGUACAAACUAUCCGCUAACUGAAAGG